GGUGCAGGUGCAGAAAAUCUCUCACAUUUGUCACAGACUAGUAGAUCUACUACUAGUAGUACUAGUACUACAGUGACAGUAUGGCGGUGGGAGUAGAGCAGAGGCUUGUCGUUGUGCCUCCUGCCUUCGACUAGACUAUGUCAUCCUGAGUAUUUACACUGCAAGAGUUUCCUCGGCGAAGCAAGCUAGAAUUUAUUUGCACAAUCUUACUAUUUGCCUCUAAGUAACUAGAACAUAGUGGUCAGAACAGGCCGGUUAUUGGCAAGCGUGGCGCAUAGUCCGUAAAUAACGUACUUAUGAAGGGAUGCAGCAGUGCGCUAUUUCUACCUUCAAUUGCUACAUCUGUGGAAGAGGAUAAUGUUUCUAGCGCGCUCACGGACGUAUUCAGCCAUAGACUUGGCAGGAAGACUUGGUGUACGGUUGGCUCAUCUCAUAGUCUAGCUGACAUAUUUCAAUCAGUGCGUUGAAAGAGAACAUCUCCUCUCGCUGAUGGAGUCCUUCUAGACCAGAGACUUGGUGUACGGUUGGCUCAUCUCAUAGUCUAGCUGACAUACUUCAAUCAGUGCUUUGAAAGAGAACAUCCCCUCUCGCAGAUAGAGUCCGUCUAGACCAGAGCUGCCUGUAGCGGAACAGCUGGACGCACGUCAAUGCCAUGCCUGCCUUCGGUGGUUCCGAAGUGCCGGUGGACUUGCUGUGCACAAGUGCACGACACCCGCCCUGGCAUCACCACCCACACCCCAGCGCAUACCAAUCACCAGCCAUCCGUGGUGCAACCAGCACUGCGCUACCUGUGAUCGCGCUACCUGUGAUCGUCUCCACAUGUCACUUCCAACGUACCUCUCAACAACAUGACCCAGCUGUGAUCUAUGCAACCAGACCAGGGUGGCGAUGGUCAGUUCUUGAGCUUCGAAGGGGCAGAAAG
This is a long non-coding RNA of Sycon ciliatum, 922 nucleotides long. RefSeq lists it as uncharacterized. The record is from RefSeq and is a predicted model, not a curated record. NCBI's taxonomy places the organism in Eukaryota, Metazoa, Porifera, Calcarea, Leucosolenida, Sycettidae. The transcript is spliced from 5 exons.